AGGGGUGUGUGUGUGUGAGAGGGGUGUGUGUGUGUGUGUGUGUGUGUGUGGGGGUAUGUGUGUGAGAGGGGGGUAUGUGUGUGUGUGUGUGUGGUGGGUGGGAGUGUGUGUGUGUCUACUGUGUGGGUCUGUACCUGCUGAAAAGCACCAGCCUAAUUGGACACUUAAUAUUUAUGUUUUUGUGUCAAAUAUGAAGUGUGUUUUUUGUUGUUGAUUUAUUCAAUUAAAUUGCACUGGUCUGUCGGGUUGGGGAGGGGGGGGGGGAAGGGGUGUUGGUGAUCUUUAUCUCACACAAAGCAUAUAGGGCUUUACAGGUUAUAGUACCGUUCAGCCUCGUACGACCAUCCUGAUCUUGUUACUACAUGGACUCAACUUGGGCCUCUUGGGCUGAGGUCCAAUAUUCCUGAAGGGCUUUACUGUCUUUCAUGGUUUUGCUGUAUUCAGAGGGUCUGUUCGGAUUCCCCACAGCGUGUUAAUCCAUCAUCCCAAGUUUCACCAUUUUAAUGUUUAUGACAACAGAUGGAAAGAAGAUAUGGAACGGUUGUGUUUGAGUUUUGGGAAAAAAUCUAUUUGGUUUUCUGUUGGUCGCUGUGGUUAGCGAUGUUGUGUCUUGGGGGGAGGAGGAGAGUGUGCUCAUUCACAAGACGAUUGGUAACACACAACAUUUUGCUCUGAUUUUCUUGCCAGAUUAAGCCCCCUGACUAAGAAGCUUUUAGGAUGGAGAAUUUCCUUUUAGACUUUGUGUGUCUGUGGGAAACUAGCCCAUAUAUAACACGGCUACAUAUAUACAGACUGGCAUGCCACUGUAGAAAGAAACAAACUCCAGAACAGCAUAGUGUUGGCCCCUCACAAGACUCAUAAUUCAAUGUUCCCUUCCCGACAGAUAUUUGUGUAUAGUCUAUUGCCAACCAGGGGAGUAUAACCUUAUUCAUCUAACAUUUUAACAAGCCUGCUUUAAAUAGAAACGCUAUUGAUAUAAUCGUCGCCCGGAAGGUGUCUGGGCCUGUGUUCAGUUCCCCCCCCAGUCCAUAUAGUAGUAUCCAUUAUGAUCUGAAAGGCAAAACUGAUCCUAGAUCAGCACUUCUACUCCGAGACAUAUUGUGAAUACAGGCCCUGAUCUUCAGUUGAUUUUACUGAUGGCCUCCCCGAUCCAAGCAGACUCCCGUCCUUAUUAAAUAUAACACUGUUUUUUUUUUACGUGUAGGGUGCUGUGGCGCUUUAAGUAAACUACUGGAAGAAAAUGCUAUUGUUUGUGUUUUAUGUACUGUGUUAUAAUUCAAAUAUGAUGACAAUUAAAGACUGGUCAGACUGUUU
Oncorhynchus tshawytscha (Chinook salmon) is the source of this 1314-nucleotide long non-coding RNA. Lineage: Eukaryota; Metazoa; Chordata; Actinopteri; Salmoniformes; Salmonidae. The record is from Ensembl.